This 229-nucleotide unclassified non-coding RNA is filed under the name plant metagenome. RNAcentral describes it as "partial contains small subunit ribosomal RNA, internal transcribed spacer 1, and 5.8S ribosomal RNA". The record is from RNAcentral.
GCUCCGUAGGUGAACCUGCGGAGGGAUCAUUACAGAGUUCAUGCCCUACCGGGUAGAUCUCCCACCCUAUGUUAUUAUUACUUUGUUGCUUUGGCGGGCCGUUAGGCUCCGGCCCGACUACCGGCCCCGGCUGGUAAGCGCCCGCCAGAGGACCCAAAACCCUGAAUAUUAGUGUCGUCUGAGCACUAUAUAAUAGUUAAAACUUUCAACAACGGAUCUCUUGGUUCUG